UUUAUACUCCCUCCGUCCCAAAUUUUUUGUCUUAGAUUUGUCUAAAUACAGAUGUAUCAAGUCACGUUUUAGUAUUAGAUACAUCCGUAUCUCGACAAAUAUAAGACAAGAAUUUUAGGGACGGAGGGAGUAUAUG
Non-coding RNA from Triticum aestivum (bread wheat), 136 nucleotides. The record is from Rfam. NCBI's taxonomy places the organism in Eukaryota, Viridiplantae, Streptophyta, Magnoliopsida, Poales, Poaceae.